RNAcentral lists this unclassified non-coding RNA (229 nucleotides) under Enterococcus phoeniculicola. RNAcentral describes it as "partial 16S-23S ribosomal RNA intergenic spacer". The record is from RNAcentral. Lineage: Bacteria; Bacillati; Bacillota; Bacilli; Lactobacillales; Enterococcaceae.
CUAAGGAAUAUUACGGAAACUACACACGUUUGUUAACCUUUGUUCAGUUUUGAGAGGUUUACUCUCAAAACUUUUGUUCAUUGAAAACUGGAUAUUGAAGUAAAAAAGAAUCAAAACAAACCGAGAACACCGCGUUGAAUGAGUUUUUUAAGAAGUUCAAUUGCUUAUUUUCUUGAUGACGCUCCUAUCGCUAGGAAAACGAGUCAAAACCCAACCGUAAGGUUGAUAA